AUAUUUUGAUUGUCUGGUUGGUCU
RNAcentral lists this non-coding RNA (24 nucleotides) under Cricetulus griseus (Chinese hamster). Lineage: Eukaryota; Metazoa; Chordata; Mammalia; Rodentia; Cricetidae. The record is from RNAcentral.